This 253-nucleotide ribosomal RNA is filed under the name uncultured bacterium. RNAcentral's name for it is "partial 16S ribosomal RNA". It matches the Rfam family "Bacterial small subunit ribosomal RNA", at positions 524 to 776 of the family's 1533-position model. The record is from RNAcentral.
UACGUAGGGUGCAAGCGUUACUCGGAAUCACUGGGCGUAAAGGGUGCGUAGGCGGCUUGUUAAGUUGGAUGUGAAAUCCCUCAGCUCAACUGAGGAACUGCGUCCAAAACUGACGGGCUUGAGGACGGUAGGGGACAGUGGAACUCCUGGUGGAGCGGUGAAAUGCGUAGAGAUCAGGAGGAACGCCGGUGGCGAAAGAGACUGUCUGGGCCGUAUCUGACGCUGAGGCACGAAAGCCAGGGGAGCAAACGGG